UACAGAGGGUGCGAGCGUUGUUCGGAAUCAUUGGGCGUAAAGCGCUUGUAGGCGGUCUGUUAAGUCCUGUGUGAAAGCCCUUGGCUUAACCAAGGAAGUGCGCCCGAAACUGCAGAGCUUGAGUACCGGAGAGGAUGGCGGAAUUCCCCAAGUAGAGGUGAAAUUCGUAGAUAUGGGGAGGAACACCGGUGGCGAAGGCGGCCAUCUGGACGGAUACUGACGCUGAGACGCGAAAGCGUGGGGAGCAAACAGG
This 253-nucleotide ribosomal RNA is filed under the name uncultured prokaryote. RNAcentral describes it as "partial 16S ribosomal RNA". It matches the Rfam family "Bacterial small subunit ribosomal RNA", at positions 524 to 776 of the family's 1533-position model. The record is from RNAcentral.